Long non-coding RNA from Amphiprion ocellaris (clown anemonefish), 3091 nucleotides. The record is from Ensembl. Lineage: Eukaryota; Metazoa; Chordata; Actinopteri; Pomacentridae.
CUGACACAAGAGAAAGAAAGAUGACAGUCAUAAUGAGGAAGUAACAACUUAGUAAUUACAGGAAGCAAACACGAGCCUAAGAAGCUCCACUUCAGAGAUUUUCAUGAGAAGUGGAGAGAAAAGAGAGACGGAGAGGAACGAUGGUGGAAACCAGAUGGAAUAAAAUGUUUCUUCUAUUGAUGCUGGUGCUUCAGUUCAGCGGAGCUCUGACCAGACAGCUUGACCUCUUCUCCACUGUCAGAGAUGGAGAUAAAGCCACUUUGUCUUGUGAGAAUGUAAUGGAUGAUCAUCAUAACUGUGACAAAACCACCUGGGUCUUCAGUAAUUCAAAAAUACCAUUAGCAGUAGAGCUGGUUACUCUUGGACAAAUUAAGAAUAAGACCAACAAAGACAGACUGAAUGUUACAGCAAAUUGUUCUCUGGUUAUAAAGAAAGUUACAGUUGAGGAUGCUGGUCAUUACUCCUGCAGACAAUAUAUAUCAGAGAAAGAAUUUCAAGAUGCUUGGGUUGAUCUGUCUGUUGUUACUGUGACUGAACAUAAAGACACUGAUCUGGUGACUCUAAACUGCUCUGUGACGACAAACAGACAAUGCAGACACACAGUGAAGUGGCUUUUUAAGGGUCAAGCUGUGGAUAAUGACAACCCAAACAUAAAGACAUCACAGUCUUCCUGCUCUGUUACUGUGAGCUUUGUGAAUAAUUUUUGGGGAUCAUCAAUACCAUAUCAUGACUGGUUUAAAUGUAGUGUAUCUACAGAGACUAAAAAAGAGCCACUGACCUUCAGUCUUCGUCCAUCAGGUGAGGACACAAAAACAACAACAACAACAACUGCAAAUAACACAAAAGGUGAUACAACCACAACAGGAUCUUCAUUCAGUGAUACACCAAAUCUCUGGUGGCUGUACAUUGUUGUGCCUGUAGUUGCAGUAGCACUUUUGAUAAUUGCUGUGAAAGUCACCAGAUCGAGGAGAACUAAAGGGAAAAACACACAAAGAAAUGGCAAUGUUGCCCUGACUUCAGAUCCUGCAGUGGCUCAGUCUGCACCUGAAAUCAGUCAGGACAUGGCUGAUCCUGAGGAUGGUGUUUCCUACGCCUCCAUCAGCUACACCAAGAAAGCCAACAGUAAAGCCAAGAUUCGGAGUAAAAAAGAUGACGAUGACACAGUAACCUACUCCACAGUGAAGGCUUCCUCACCUGAUCCCAGCAGCCUCUAUGCCACCAUCUACAAUCCCAACUCAGGUCCUUAGAUCACCGCUUCUGUUCAGAGCUUCUAAUCUAAAGUGUUGGGUCAUAACUACAGUGGCACAGUUUAAAAAGCAGAAGUCAAACCACAACAUUUUUACUGAAGGUUGCUUAAAAUGCUUCAUGAACUGUGUGAAUGUUGGGUUUAUUUUGGGUUUAUUUUUCAAGGUUUAGCAUAUAGUUUAUUUUCAAAAUAUAUAUUGACUGUAUUCUUCUGCAAAUGUAAUAAUUUAUCUACAUGAAGAUUAGUUUGAUAGCCUAUAACCUAAGUUUGAUAACCUAUCAUUAUCUGAUAUGCAGUACUUUGGUCAUUUCUGAAAUGAAUCAUUGUGAAAACGUUUGUAAGAAGGAUGUCAUGCAUCUAAGAAUGUGAGAAAUAGCCACCGAUAAUUAAUUUGAGGAAGUGGCUGAUUCUCUUUAAGAACCUACUAGUUUAGAGACGUUUGAGGACAAAAGAGGAAAGACAGACAGAAACGCAGAUGGUUAAAUUCAGAUGGAUUAAAAUGUCAUUAUUUCAUGUGGUGGCUAAUGGCAGAUGUGAUUUUUUGGAAAUACUUACAUUUGUCCCUUAAAAAUGGCCUUUGCACAAGGAUCAAAUGUGAACAUUGUUAGGCUCAUGUAUUAUGUUGCUGUGAUGCCACCUGUAGGUGAAAUGUCAGUUUACACACCAAGAGCAACCAAAUCAGUAAUUUUAUUUAGAUGGAACCUCAUCAUGGGCCUAUGUUAUUUAAUAAUGAAGUUUACAAAAUAGAGAGACUUUAUAGAAUAGAAAUGAUUACUUAAAAGCCAAGGAAAAAGAACUGUUUUUAGUUUAUGUCUAAAAAUUGCAACAUUUUGGGCAGAUCUGAGUUCUAAGGGGAACUGGUUGCAGCAGCAGCAGGCAGAAAAAUGACUACACACUUAUUACCACUUCAUCAUGUCUGAUCUGAACUCACCAGUCCCUGCAGAUCCGUGAGAGCUUCUGGGCCUUAGCAAACAAUUCUUCAAUAUAUUUCAGGCCCAGAUCAAACAGAAACUAGUGGACAAAAGGUAUUGCCUUAAGUUCAGCUCUAUAUUUAACUGGAAGCAAGUGAAGUGACCUGGGUAUUGAAGUAGUGUGUUCUCCUUUGUUGGUGUUUGUCGGUAUUCUAGCAGCAGCAUUUCCAAAGGUUUCAAAUGCCUAAAGGUCUUAUUUUGGAGGCCAUUAAGAAGUGCAUUAUGGUAUUACAGCUUUGAUGUUUAGAUCUUAAUCAAUGACUACACCAAGACUGUUGUCUUUUUUAUUACUGCCCUGCACUCGUGGUAAGCUCUGAGAGCCAGGAGAGCUGAUAUGUCUACCAGUCAUUUUAAACUUUGCAGUUUUGUGUUAAAGAAGUAUUUAGGUCUGUUUUUAUUAUAUAAGCAAAAUACAUUUAAAUGUAACAGUAAAAGUUACCAGCUUGUUGGAAAAAUUACCUUUAUCAAUGUUAUAGUUUUCUAUGUUGUGUUAAAGAGAUUUUAAGUGAUGCAUUAUAAUUAGCCAGCUGCAACAGAGCUCACUUUAUGUAGUAUUUAUAUUCCUAGUUUAAUUUACUGGAUAACAAUGCUCUGUGUUUUAUUUGCUCUUUGUGUGGUUAUCUGAAAUUCAUGUUGGAGCUAAAGUCAGAGAAAAUCAGAGUUUUAGAAACGGGUUAAAAUUAUUAGUUAAUCUUAAAUAUAAGUAGCAAGUCUAUAUUUAUCAAAGUUACUUGUGAGGUGGCAACUUCACCUCUAUAUGUGUGUGUGUAUGUGUGUGUGUGCAUUACUUGUAAUUGAUGCAAUUAUUAAAGUCAUAUCAAGUUUACCACAGCUGUGUGACCGGUGGAAAAAAAAGUCAAAAUAAAAGUUGUCC